This 197-nucleotide small RNA is filed under the name Arabidopsis thaliana (thale cress). RNAcentral describes it as "ATSL193020". The record is from RNAcentral. Lineage: Eukaryota; Viridiplantae; Streptophyta; Magnoliopsida; Brassicales; Brassicaceae.
AAAAUAAUUCCACUACAAUGGUAUGUUGUAAUCCAAAAGUAGCUGAUGCGGCAAAUUUAAUAUUAAUAAAUUUCAACACCCAUGAAAGUAGAAGGGAGAAGAUAAAUGUGACAAGUGUUAUAAUUUUAUUUGUUGCUUUAAUUUCUUUUCUUUUUGCUUCGUCUUAAUUAUAUAACUUCAAUUAUUUCAUAAUAUUU